Molecule: ribosomal RNA, 734 nt
Filed under: Escherichia coli
Lineage: Bacteria; Pseudomonadati; Pseudomonadota; Gammaproteobacteria; Enterobacterales; Enterobacteriaceae
Description: partial 23S ribosomal RNA
Rfam family: Bacterial large subunit ribosomal RNA
Source: RNAcentral
CGUGAGGGAAAGGCGAAAAGAACCCCGGCGAGGGGAGUGAAAAAGAACCUGAAACCGUGUACGUACAAGCAGUGGGAGCCUCUUUAUGGGGUGACUGCGUACCUUUUGUAUAAUGGGUCAGCGACUUAUAUUCUGUAGCAAGGUUAACCGAAUAGGGGAGCCGAAGGGAAACCGAGUCUUAACUGGGCGUUAAGUUGCAGGGUAUAGACCCGAAACCCGGUGAUCUAGCCAUGGGCAGGUUGAAGGUUGGGUAACACUAACUGGAGGACCGAACCGACUAAUGUUGAAAAAUUAGCGGAUGACUUGUGGCUGGGGGUGAAAGGCCAAUCAAACCGGGAGAUAGCUGGUUCUCCCCGAAAGCUAUUUAGGUAGCGCCUCGUGAAUUCAUCUCCGGGGGUAGAGCACUGUUUCGGCAAGGGGGUCAUCCCGACUUACCAACCCGAUGCAAACUGCGAAUACCGGAGAAUGUUAUCACGGGAGACACACGGCGGGUGCUAACGUCCGUCGUGAAGAGGGAAACAACCCAGACCGCCAGCUAAGGUCCCAAAGUCAUGGUUAAGUGGGAAACGAUGUGGGAAGGCCCAGACAGCCAGGAUGUUGGCUUAGAAGCAGCCAUCAUUUAAAGAAAGCGUAAUAGCUCACUGGUCGAGUCGGCCUGCGCGGAAGAUGUAACGGGGCUAAACCAUGCACCGAAGCUGCGGCAGCGACACUAUGUGUUGUUGGGUAGGGGAGCG